RNAcentral lists this non-coding RNA (103 nucleotides) under mosquito metagenome. The record is from RNAcentral.
CCUCGUUUAGAAGGCUUGCCGUACAGCUGUGGUCACGGGGGCUGUACGGGACGUUUCCGUGACUGGGCUUGUCUGCACCAUGUCGGUGUGAGUGCAGGAGCCG